Molecule: ribosomal RNA, 503 nt
Filed under: uncultured bacterium
Lineage: Bacteria
Description: partial 16S ribosomal RNA
Rfam family: Bacterial small subunit ribosomal RNA
Source: RNAcentral
AUUGAACGCUGGCGGCAGGCUUAACACAUGCAAGUCGAGCGGGGUGAUGGUGCUUGCACUAUCACUUAGCGGCGGACGGGUGAGUAAUGCUUAGGAAUCUGCCUAUUAGUGGGGGACAACAUCUCGAAAGGGAUGCUAAUACCGCAUACGUCCUACGGGAGAAAGCAGGGGAUCACUUGUGACCUUGCGCUAAUAGAUGAGCCUAAGUCGGAUUAGCUAGUUGGUGGGGUAAAGGCCUACCAAGGCGACGAUCUGUAGCGGGUCUGAGAGGAUGGUCCGCCACACUGGGACUGAGACACGGGCCAGACCCCUACGGGAGGUAGCAGUGGGGAAUAUUGGACAAUGGGGGGAACCCUGAUCCAGCCAUGCCGCGUGUGUGAAGAAGGCCUUAUGGUUGUAAAGCACUUUAAGCGAGGAGGAGGCUACUGAGACUAAUACUCUUGGAUAGUGGACGUUACUCGCAGAAUAAGCACCGGCUAACUCUGUGCCAGCCGCCGCCGUAA